Molecule: long non-coding RNA, 1051 nt
Organism: Aquila chrysaetos chrysaetos
Lineage: Eukaryota; Metazoa; Chordata; Aves; Accipitriformes; Accipitridae
Exons: 3
Source: RefSeq, a predicted model, not a curated record
CUCUGGGUCUUUUUCUUGUUCCCACGGACAUCUACAGAAAAUACCCUCUUUGUUGGCACUUGCUGUGAUCCCCUCAUAAAAGAAAUAAUUCAAUGUACUCUCCAGGAGGAGAGAGGAAAUCGCAUCUUGCUGAGGACAAGACAGACAUCGCCCUGAAGUUUUUUUGAGAGGCGUAAUCAAGAGCACAGCUUCAGUGAAGGACGCUCCAGGCAGAUGUGGAAGUUCUUGGACCUAAAAGGAGCUUUUUCAGCAUGCCUCUGAGAGCUGAACCCUUCAGUGGGUCCUGGCUUAACUUCUUCAGGAAAGAGCGUGGGUGCCUCAAGUCUGUGUUCAGUUGUGAAACUGGUGAUACCAGGAUUGCCUGGAUAACCACUGUCCGGACAGACACUGUCCCAAGUGAAAAGCUUCCAUGGCAAAGCCUCCCAUAUUUCUGUGGCUGCUUCAGCACCUUUCAGGGCACCAGGAGAAGCUUUCACAGAAGAAUCAGACCUCACACCACUAAUGGCACAUCCAGAACUCCCCGUGCAUGUCAUGUCCAGGUCUCCUGCCCUGCUGUAAAGCGACUGUCCAAGCUCCUGCUCAGUCCUCCAAAAAUUUUGUGACAGCACCAUACCCAAUCUCACAGGACAGAUGUUCUGGGAAUGACUGUAGCAAAAAGGCUGGGAAACAAAGAAAAAGGCUCUUGGAAUCUUCUCCGGAGAAUGUGAAGAAAAUCUUUAUCUUCAACAAUUCACAUUCCUACUUUUUCCUCAUUCUUUGUUUGACAAAUUGUUUUCUAUUUACAGCCAGCACUUUUUAAUGCAUUCUCCCUCCCCCAGCCUACUGGGUUCCUAUUUUAUCCUUCUGACAAUGUUACCAUAUGGUUCUAUUAUUCAGAGAUUCCUAAACAUGUAUUGCAACAGUCCUGAAAAAUAAUUAGGUGCUGCUGUGGUGUAAAAGCACAUCUGUGAUCAAUGGCUCCCUCUGGAAAUUAUGGGAUAAAAUGUCCCAAGACAUUUUUCUAUCUUUCUACUUUCCCCCCACCAUUUUCUGUCCCUCCCUGUCCCCCAGA